CUCCCAGUCUUGCACGCCCCCGCAGUCCCCCCAACCCGACCCCCGCCCCUUGUCACUACGUGUCGGGCUCGCUCUGCCUGGAGGGAGGCUGGGGUGCGGGGAAGCAGGGAGUGCAAACAGACAUUGGUUCUCUUUCCUCUUCCCAUUCAUACAUUUCUGUUGGAGUCCUAGGGCCGCCGCGCCGGGAGUCGCAAUGAAUGGAUGGAUGCCCGCGCGCUGGGACCACCAGGUCCGCAGAGAUGUCGCCGGCGCUAGGGGCGCUCCUCCCGCGUGGGGACAGGCGCCCUCGCCUAGGCGCAGUGUGGGGGGACCCCAAAAGACCCUUAAGAGGCCAAAGGCCUGCUCUCCCCGUUCUCCCCAACACACACCAGGGGUCUUUUCUGCCCCGGAGAAGUUGGGACGCAAAACGUAGGGAACUGCGCUCAGUCUCCGCACCACGAAGAGUCGAGAUGGGGACCGAGACCAGCACGGACGGUAGCAACAGAGAGGGGAGCGCCCAAGUGGCGCAACGUUGUGGCUGAAGCCAAGCCUGUCGCCUCCCCCUGAGUACCGCUGGCGGCCCAGGACCGUGCGCUCUCCCUUCCUGAGCACCCAGGGAUGCACUGCGCAGGGAAGGAGGGCACGGCGGGAGGGUGCUUGCAGGGGACUGCUGCGCGGAUUCCCCAUCCGCACCCGGCUCGCGGGGAAUCCGUGGGCUUGCACUCGCCAGAAAGAGCUGCUGCAGGAGCAGCCGGAUGGUGAGGCCCGUUCCCGACCCUGGGUGGGAGGAACUUAAAGGGCUGAGUUCUGAGGCGCCAGGCACAGGGCGCAGCUUCAUAAAUGCACCCAAAAGCUUCCAUGGACAGACGGCACAGAUGUCGCUGAAGUGAACCUAAGGAAGUUUGCUACCCCAAGACCCGGGCUUCGCGCCAGGUGACAACAGACGUCUGGGAGUGUGGUGACACCUGCGCAGAGUCCCUGGUGGUUCAACCUGUCCGAGAAGGUUGCAAGAAGAUGCCACUGUCUUACCUUUCUCCCCUAGUGCUCAUGCCCCAGAAAAGGCCACUGGGUCACUAGAUCCCAACCCCUUGUGCCAUGAGAGGGAAGCCUGCACAACGGCGUUGGCACUCCCCCAUAAAUCGUCUCCUGGGUCCUUCCCAUUACGCACACACAUAAUGUCAUUUCUCCAGGGAAAAAUAAAUAACAACUUUCUUGACUCUCCACCUUCUCCCUCCAUCUCUACCCAGGUUCUCUGUUUCCCUUUACAAAAGAAUGCAGCUGUCUAGAUGGUGGCUCUGGUCUCUCUCCUCUCUCUGGGUCUUGAAUCGUUCCAAAACACUUUCUUAAGAGUUCUACUUCUGCUGUCCUGCAAUAUCUCACUUUUACUGAGGUCACCAUUCAACCCAAAACUCUCUAUCCAAGAGUCCAUUCUUAGACAUCUUAGAUGACUUACCCAUGACAGUGGACAGAAUUCUUCAUUCCUGCCUCCUUAGAAUACAACCUUGACUCAGCUUUCCAGAUGCUCCACUCUGCUGAUUUGUGUCCCACCUUUCUGGAUAUUCCCCCUUAGACACAUUUGCUGAACUCCUCGUCUCCCCACUGUCUUCAUGUUGCAGUGUCCCAAGGCUCAUCUGUGGACCUUUUAUUUUCCAUCACUCCCUGCUCCCUUGGUGAUCUCGCUCAGCCUCAUGGGUUUAAAUCUGAAUACUAAUGACGCUUGCACUUAUAUGUUUAGCCCAGACCCUCCCCUAAACUCUACAUUCAUGUAUCUAGCUACCAGCUCCACUGGGGCAUCUAGAAGUUAUCUGAAACCUAACAUGGCUGUUACUGAGCUGUUGGUUUUACCCCCAUCACAAACCUGCUCUUCCCACAGUUUUUCCACCUUGGUGAAUGGAAAGCCCACACCCAUCAUGUCUGGGUUAUAGCUGUUGCCACCUCCCUCAGCUCUCACUCUGCCCACGCCUCCUUCACUCUAUUCUCAGCCACAUGGGCCUUCCUAGAACCCACCAGGCACCCUCCCAACUCAGAGCCUUUGCAGCUGCUGAUUCCUCUCCAGGAACUCCUCUGCCCAAUGUCCUGAAUAUCUGCAGGGCACAUUCUCUUCCUCUUUCACAUUUUUUCCUCUUGCACCUCUUCAAGAAGCCUCCAGAGUCCACCCCACCACACACUGCUACACCACCUCUCCCAGCACUUAUUCCCGCCUUUCUUUGCUUUACUUCCUCCAUGCAUUGCUUGUGGUUGACUUAUCUGCCUCGUUUAGUGUAGUUCCCCAGUAAAAUGUCAGCUUCCUAAUGGCAGGAAUUUUGCCUUUGCUUAUAAUUGCAUAAAAACUACAUAACCUCAUCAAACUUUCUUUACCUGUCACCACACAUUCAGGAGUUCCUGAUUCAUCUCUUAGAACAUAGAAGAAACUGAGCUUGGAGGUUGGCAAAGGCCAUUUCUCUGUCAUAGUGAUCUCUCACAUUAAAUGUGUGUGUGUGUGUGUGUGUGUAUCUGCCCAAGACCACUGUCACACCUCUGGUGAUUCCUGAGAAAUGCAAUCUCUCUACCUUCCUCACUUUCUUCUUCAAUCCUUUCUUUGCCUUCCCCUAUUUCUUUCUUUUCUCUCCAUUAGUCUUCUUUUCUUUUCUGCCUUAAGCCUCCCAUGGGCACCAAGGGGCAUGCCUACCUAGCCCUUGGCCACCAAGGAGGUAAAGGGGACCUUCAGGCUUACCUGUGUUCUCAAAGCCGCCUGCUCCUUCCCAUCCAUCCUGUUUCAAUGC
This 2741-nucleotide long non-coding RNA is filed under the name Homo sapiens (human). RNAcentral's name for it is "non-protein coding LINC00602:3". Lineage: Eukaryota; Metazoa; Chordata; Mammalia; Primates; Hominidae. The record is from RNAcentral.